AAGAUGAUAAGUCCUAAAUAGGACGAAACGCGCGUCCUGGAU
Molecule: non-coding RNA, 42 nt
Filed under: Schistosoma mansoni
Lineage: Eukaryota; Metazoa; Platyhelminthes; Trematoda; Strigeidida; Schistosomatidae
Source: RNAcentral